This 83-nucleotide transfer RNA is filed under the name Clostridia bacterium. RNAcentral describes it as "tRNA-Leu". It matches the Rfam family "tRNA". From Rfam's summary of the family: Transfer RNA (tRNA) molecules are approximately 80 nucleotides in length. Their secondary structure includes four short double-helical elements and three loops (D, anti-codon, and T loops). Lineage: Bacteria; Bacillati; Bacillota; Clostridia. The record is from RNAcentral.
GCGGGCGUGGCGGAACGGGUAUACGCACGGGACUUAAAAUCCCGCGGUCCUAGACCUUGCGGGUUCGAAUCCCGCCGCCCGCA